This 22-nucleotide transfer RNA is filed under the name Saponaria prostrata. RNAcentral describes it as "partial tRNA-Gly". The record is from RNAcentral. Lineage: Eukaryota; Viridiplantae; Streptophyta; Magnoliopsida; Caryophyllales; Caryophyllaceae.
CGGGUAUAAUUUAGUGGUAAAA